CAUAAGGACUUAUUUAAGUCCACCAACCAUUCAUAAACAUCAUUAU
Molecule: non-coding RNA, 46 nt
Organism: Gossypium raimondii (Peruvian cotton)
Lineage: Eukaryota; Viridiplantae; Streptophyta; Magnoliopsida; Malvales; Malvaceae
Source: Rfam